RNAcentral lists this ribosomal RNA (466 nucleotides) under uncultured organism. Its description in RNAcentral is "partial 16S ribosomal RNA". It matches the Rfam family "Bacterial small subunit ribosomal RNA", at positions 334 to 796 of the family's 1533-position model. The record is from RNAcentral.
CACUCCUGCGGGAGGCAGCAGUGAGGAAUAUUGGACAAUGGGUGGAAGCCUGAUCCAGCCAUCCCGCGUGCAGGAAGACGGCCCUAUGGGUUGUAAACUGCUUUUAUCUGGGGAUAAACCUACUUACGUGUAAGUAGCUGAAGGUACCAGAAGAAUAAGCACCGGCUAACUCCGUGCCAGCAGCCGCGGUAAUACGGAGGGUGCAAGCGUUAUCCGGAUUUAUUGGGUUUAAAGGGUCCGUAGGCGGACUGAUAAGUCAGUGGUGAAAUCCGACAGCUUAACUGUCGAACUGCCAUUGAUACUGUUAGUCUUGAGUAAGGUUGAAGUGGCUGGAAUAAGUAGUGUAGCGGUGAAAUGCAGAGAUAUUACUUAGAACACCAAUUGCGAAGGCAGGUCACUAAGUCUUAACUGACGCUGAUGGACGAAAGCGUGGGGAGCGAACAGGAUUAGAAACCCUAGUAGGCCC